GUUUGUUGAAAAGUUUAUUUUAUAUGAAGCACUAUACUAUUACUAUUGUGUGUAUUUUAGUUAUUUAUAUAUAUUUAUUUAGAAAAUGUUUGCAUACCCUUAAUUUUAAUGAAAACAUGGGUGAGCAGGAAAAACACAUUCAUAUUCAGCUGUAGGUUAUACCAGAAUGGCACAAUCAUAAAAUAUGGUAACAAAGAAAACCAUUAAAUGACCCCUGUUCAGAAGUCUGCAUGCCCUUAGUUCUUAAUACUGUGUAAUGCUCCCUUUAGCAUCAAUGAUAGCAUGCAGUCUUUUGUAAUAUUUGUCUAUGAGCCCCCUAAUUCUUGCAGGUGGGAUAGUUGCCUAUUCGUUUUGGCAAAAUGCUUUCAGGUCAUGCAAAGUCUUUGGUCAUCUUCCAUGAACGACACGUUUGAGAUCUCCCUAGAGUAGAGAUCAGGAGAUUGUGAUGGCCACUCCCGAAUUUUCACCUUUUUCUGCUGUAACCACUGGAGGGUCAACUUGGCCUUGUGUUUAGGGUUAUUGUCAUGCUGGUCCAAGAGCAUCCUAUGCGUACUCUUAGUGCAGAAGAAUGCAAAUUGUCUGCCAAGAUUCCCUGUGCCUUUAGAGCUCACACAUACCCAAAACAUCAGUGACCCACCACCAUGCCUCCCUUCCCUAUAGGCUUUGUUAACCCCUCUCCAAACAUAACGCUUAUGGUUGUGACCAUAAAGCUCUAUUUUGGUCUCGUCACUUCAAAUUACAGUGUGCAAGAAGCUGUGAGGUAUGUCAUGGUGGUGUUGGGCAUAAUAUCCCCAGGAUUUUUUUUUUUAUAUACACAUUUUUAUUUUUGCAGUGCAUAGAAAUGGUACAAGCAGGCCUGAAGUGCCCCAAAAGCACUCCUCAG
This is a non-coding RNA of Pelobates cultripes (western spadefoot toad), 883 nucleotides long. The record is from the annotation of a GenBank genome assembly. NCBI's taxonomy places the organism in Eukaryota, Metazoa, Chordata, Amphibia, Anura, Pelobatidae.